Molecule: ribosomal RNA, 480 nt
Filed under: uncultured bacterium
Lineage: Bacteria
Description: bacterial SSU rRNA
Rfam family: Bacterial small subunit ribosomal RNA
Source: RNAcentral
UAGUCCACGCCGUAAACGAUGAGUGCUAGAUAUCGGGAAUUAAAUUUUCGGUUUCGCAGCUAACGCAUUAAGCACUCCGCCUGGGGACUACGAUCGCAAGAUUAAAACUCAAAGGAAUUGACGGGGGCUCGCACAAGUGGUGGAGCAUGCGGUUUAAUUCGAUGCAACGCGAAGAACCUUACCUGGGCUUGACAUCUACGGAACCUUGGCGAAAGUUGAGGGUGCUGUUUUGCAGAGCCGUAAGACAGGUGGUGCACGGUUGUCGUCAGCUCGUGUCGUGAGAUGUUGGGUUAAGUCCCGCAACGAGCGCAACCCACGUCGUAUGUUGAUACGCGCCUUAUGGUGGCGAUCCCUCAUGCGAGACUGCCGGUGACAAGCCGGAGGAAGGUGUGGAUGACGUCAAAUCAUCAUGCCCCUUAUGUCCAGGGGCUACACACGUGUUACAAUGGGACAGGACAACGAGUCGCUUGCUGGGUAACA